This is a long non-coding RNA of Vidua macroura (Pin-tailed whydah), 264 nucleotides long. RefSeq lists it as uncharacterized. The transcript has 3 exons. The record is from RefSeq and is a predicted model, not a curated record. Lineage: Eukaryota; Metazoa; Chordata; Aves; Passeriformes; Viduidae.
AAGAGCAGACAGAGCCUCAUGAUGUCUAACAAGGAGAAGUGCGAAAGUCCUGCACAUGAACAGGAACAACCCCAGACACCAACAUAUGCUGGGGUGGCUACCUAGCUGCUCUGAGAGAAGACACGCAGCAAUGUCAUUCAAAGAAAAUGAGUAAGCAAUUGCAGAAAUGCCAAGAAAAUAUCUGCUGCUGUGAAGUUGAUGCUCCUGAUCUAGAAAUUGCUUGGAAGAAGCAGAAGGCAGGCUGAGGAGCAGCACUGAAGAGUC